RNAcentral lists this ribosomal RNA (253 nucleotides) under uncultured bacterium. Its description in RNAcentral is "partial 16S ribosomal RNA". It matches the Rfam family "Bacterial small subunit ribosomal RNA", at positions 524 to 776 of the family's 1533-position model. The record is from RNAcentral.
UACAGAGGUCUCAAGCGUUGUUCGGAUUCAUUGGGCGUAAAGGGUGCGUAGGUGGCGCCAUAAGUCGGGUGUGAAAUCUCGGGGCUUAACUCCGAAACUGCAUUCGAUACUACCGUGCUUGAGGACUGGAGAGGAGACUGGAAUUUACGGUGUAGCGGUGAAAUGCGUAGAUAUCGUAAGGAAGACCAGUGGCGAAGGCGGGUCUCUGGACAGUUCCUGACGCUGAGGCACGAAGGCCAGGGGAGCAAACGGG